Molecule: ribosomal RNA, 373 nt
Filed under: uncultured Streptococcus sp.
Lineage: Bacteria; Bacillati; Bacillota; Bacilli; Lactobacillales; Streptococcaceae
Description: bacterial SSU rRNA
Rfam family: Bacterial small subunit ribosomal RNA
Source: RNAcentral
AUAGAAAGUUACUUCGGUACAUCGGUGACAGGUGGUGCAUGGUUGUCGUCAGCUCGUGUCGUGAGAUGUUGGGUUAAGUCCCGCAACGAGCGCAACCCCUAUUGUUAGUUGCCAUCAUUCAGUUGGGCACUCUAGCGAGACUGCCGGUAAUAACCGGAGGAAGGUGGGGAUGACGUCAAAUCAUCAUGCCCCUUAUGACCUGGGCUACACACGUGCUACAAUGGUUGGUACAACGAGUUGCGAGUCGGUGACGGCGAGCUAAUCUCUUAAAGCCAAUCUCAGUUCGGAUUGUAGGCUGCAACUCGCCUACAUGAAGUCGGAAUCGCUAGUAAUCGCGGAUCAGCACGCCGCGGUGAAUACGUUCCCGGGCCUU